AUCUAAGCACGCUGGGCCAGACAUCCCGCAGUUUUCAUGCUAGCCCGCCACAGCAUCGCGUCGUCACGGCAGGCCUUCAGCGUGGCGGCCAGAGACGGCGUAUCAUCCCUGAACACCACAUUGUUUCGCCGCUUCCAGAGCCUCCGACGGAGAGGAGGACGAAGGCAUCCGAAGAGGUGUCGCCAACCGCGCCCGCGACGUUGAAGAGGUGAACUGCACCAACCGAGGCGUCCUCUGGAGACACGUCGAGACACCUCCAAAACUGCACCGCCAAGGGGCAGCCGAAGAUGAGGUGAUUGACGGUCUCCAGAACCGCCUCACAGCACAUGCACCCUGCUUGCUCCGUCGUCAGGAUGGAUUUGCGGAGGAGCACGUCACGUGUGUGGAUGCGCGAUAGGGACAACAACCACCCGAAGAACUUAAGACACGAGGGGCCUCGGUUCGACCAUAGGAAGGUGGCCGUCUCGGCCCCCACGCCGCCGAGGCGGUGCAGGGCAUACACGGCCCUGGCU
This 512-nucleotide long non-coding RNA is filed under the name Hordeum vulgare. RNAcentral's name for it is "long non-coding RNA (HVUL_LNC013163)". Lineage: Eukaryota; Viridiplantae; Streptophyta; Magnoliopsida; Poales; Poaceae. The record is from RNAcentral.